GAGAAAUGGCACAGUGGUUAGAGCACUGGCUGCUCUUCCAGAGGAUCUGGGUUCGAGUCCCAGCUCA
Molecule: transfer RNA, 67 nt
Filed under: Neotoma lepida (desert woodrat)
Lineage: Eukaryota; Metazoa; Chordata; Mammalia; Rodentia; Cricetidae
Rfam family: tRNA
About the family: Transfer RNA (tRNA) molecules are approximately 80 nucleotides in length. Their secondary structure includes four short double-helical elements and three loops (D, anti-codon, and T loops).
Source: Rfam by way of RNAcentral